UUCCUACGGGGCGCAGCAGUGAGGAAUAUUGGGCAAUGGGCGCAAGCCUGACCCAGCAACGCCGCGUGAAGGAGGAAGGCUUUCGGGUUGUAAACUUCUUUUAAGAGGGAAGAGUAGAAGACGGUACCUCUUGAAUAAGCCACGGCUAACUACGUGCCAGCAGCCGCGGUAAUACGUAGGUGGCAAGCGUUGUCCGGAUUUACUGGGUGUAAAGGGCGUGUAGCCGGGUUGACAAGUCAGAUGUGAAAUCAUGCGGCUUAACCGCAGAACUGCAUUUGAAACUGUUGAUCUUGAGUACUGGAGAG
This 305-nucleotide ribosomal RNA is filed under the name uncultured bacterium. RNAcentral describes it as "bacterial SSU rRNA". It matches the Rfam family "Bacterial small subunit ribosomal RNA", at positions 336 to 656 of the family's 1533-position model. The record is from RNAcentral.